CAAAGAAUGGGGGCAUUAUAUGUGAAGGGCACAGCACAGGGGGCAUUAAAUGUGUGGGGCACAUGACAGGAGCAUUCUAUGUGAGGGGCACAGCACAGAGGGCAUUAUUAUGUGGGGGAACAGGACGGGUCAUAUUAUAUGUAGGGGCACAAGAUGGGGCAUUAUUACUAUAUGUGAAGGCACAGAGUGUUUUGCCUUUCAGAAGUAUAGUGUAUAUUGUGAGGAAUUUCUGGGGUGGUACGUUUUUUAGGGGCCACAAUACAUUACGGUAUUUUACUCAGAGGGUAGUUACAGCACAGCAAGUUAUAUUCAGAGAAUGCACUGUGUGGUAGUAUUAGAUUUAGAGGGCACAGUGUGUGUUAGUAUUAUAUUCAGUGGGUACAGUGUGUGAUAGUAUUAUAUUUAGAGGGUGCAGCGUGUGAUAGUAUUAUAUUCAGAGGGUGCAGUGUUUGGUAGUAUUAAAUUUAGAGGGCACAGAGUGUGGUAGUAUUAUAUUCAGAGGGUACAGUGUAUGGUGGUAUUAUAUUCAGAGGGUACAGUGUGUUGUAUAUUCAGGGGGUACAGUAUGUCAGAAUUAUAUUAGGAGGGUGUGUGCCAGUAUUAUAUUCAAAGAAUACAGUGUUUGGCAGUAUUAUAAUAAUUAUUGUUUUCAUAUAGAGGAUCAGAAUGCAUUGGCAUAGUGAGGAGACGUCUGGGCAUCAAGUUCUGCAGAGAGAAGAUUUAGCUGGAACAAAUCCUGGCGCCAAUCAGAGAGCAGCACUACUGAAAUAGAACUCCCAGGAGGUAACAGCGUGUCACACAUGUGAUGUCAUAACCAUUGUCCACCAAAGAGCAGCACUGAGCAGAAAUAACACUGCUCCUGUUCAUUCUCCAUCAGUGAGGGGCCGGUGCUGGACACUGUGUAGGGACGCGGGAAUGCAAAGUCAUACACAUGACUGUGACUGGUAAGUGUUACAUUGUUGUGUCCAAAAGAUCUUUAGUGCAGUUCCAUGUGUAUUUCUAUGAUAAACAUGUAAAUGAUUUAUCUUUUUUUUCUUAUCUUAGAUGCACUAUCUCCAGGACAUGGAGUAGCAUUUCCGGACCUACAGCAAGACGUUGGAUGAAGGCAUAGCCCCAGAAAUAACACUGGUCCUGUUCAUCAAUGAGGGGCCGGUGCUGGACACUGUGUAGGGACACGGGAAUGCAAAGUCAUGCACAUGACUGUGACUGAUGCACUAUUUCCAGGACAUGGAGUAGCAUUUCGGGACCUACAGCAAGACGUUGGAUGAAGGCACAGGCCUAGGAAUCAUGCACAUACACAGAAACAUUUGCCCAAAUUCUAGAGGUAACCUCCUUUAGUAUGCCCAGAGGAAGGGCCAUACAGUAGCCAUGGAUUCCCUACAGGUUUCCUCCCCUCUGGAGGUUUUUCCUGUCCUGAGUAUUAGUUACUGUACGCUCUUUGUGAGUGAUGGGAGGUUACAAAAAAUCCCCUACACAAACAUUUUAAUAAAUAAUAAAUAAAG
Hyla sarda is the source of this 1502-nucleotide long non-coding RNA. RefSeq lists it as uncharacterized. The transcript is spliced from 3 exons. NCBI's taxonomy places the organism in Eukaryota, Metazoa, Chordata, Amphibia, Anura, Hylidae. The record is from RefSeq and is a predicted model, not a curated record.